AUGGCAGCUGGUUUGGAGCCUCUGGUGGUCUUCUGGAGUGGACGGGGGAUCCAUAUCACGGUGGUGCUAAGCUUUGCGGUGCAGGUGACGCUUCUACUCUUGGCAGAUCUUCGUCGACGCGCGGACUGGCCUGUGCUGAAGGUCAGCAUUUGGUCAGCAUACAUGCUGGCCGACACGACGGCCAUAUAUGCCUUGGGCCACCUGUCCGUGGUCGUCAGGUCACCCGAGCACCACCUUAUGGCACUCUGGGCACCGUUGCUGCUGGUGCACCUUGGCGGCCAAGACAACAUCACCGCCUAUGCCAUUGAGGACAACCGGCUAUGGUUGCGUCACCUGCAGACCUUCGGAGUGCAGCUCCUAGCAGCUGGCUAUGUGCUAUAUACGUCUUCCAUUCUCUCUCGCCCGUCCUUGCUCCGUUCGGCCGCCAUCCUCAUGUCUGUGGUCGGGGUUCUCAAGUACGGGGAGAGAGUAUGGGCGCUCAUUGGCGCCGACAGAUCUGCCAGUGGCAGCCUAUCUGCCACCAGCUACAAGGAUUUGAAUGCCGAGCAGACAAAUGAUGGUGAUACAAGCCAGAGAAAUGAAGUGAAACUGAACGGUUUGUCCUCAGGACCUGCAAGGCAGAGUAAUGAAGUGGAUCUGGAAGGUUGUCCGGCAGGGUCUACAAGUCACGGUCAUGGAGUUGAUCCAGAAGAUUUGUCCGAAAUUCUUGCAAGCGAGAGUCAUGAAGUGGAAGAGGGAGUCGAGAUGGGCCAGGGAGUUAUGUCUACAGGACCUCCACGCCAGGGGGAUAAAUUUGAGGGGCUAGUCACAGCUUACUCACUGUUGGACGUUGCCAAGCAAAUGUUCGAGGGUCCAACACGUUUUGUGAAAAUUAGGAAAGCAAGGCGUUACGAAGGAGAAUUUAUGUUGGAGGUGGUGGAGAUGCAGCUCACGAUGAUGUACGAUCUCUUGUACACCAAGGCUGUAGUGGUGCACACCUGGUUUGGUUUCUUGGUACGUGUCUUGUCGCUGCCAUUCACUGUGGCCGCACUCCUGCUGUUCCAUGGUGCAUGCAUUGGGUGA
Molecule: ribosomal RNA, 1062 nt
Filed under: Triticum aestivum (bread wheat)
Lineage: Eukaryota; Viridiplantae; Streptophyta; Magnoliopsida; Poales; Poaceae
Description: partial small subunit ribosomal RNA
Source: RNAcentral